RNAcentral lists this non-coding RNA (31 nucleotides) under Rattus norvegicus (Norway rat). The record is from RNAcentral. Lineage: Eukaryota; Metazoa; Chordata; Mammalia; Rodentia; Muridae.
UCUUCGUGUGACAAUAAUCAGGGCCUCUGUC